RNAcentral lists this unclassified non-coding RNA (248 nucleotides) under Borreliella afzelii. The record is from RNAcentral. Lineage: Bacteria; Pseudomonadati; Spirochaetota; Spirochaetia; Spirochaetales; Borreliaceae.
UCUGCGAGUUCGCGGGAGAGUAAGUUAUUGCCAGGGUUUUUAUUUUAUACUUUAAACCUUGAAUUUAUUUUUUAAAUGUUUAUAUUAUUUGAAUAAAACAUUCAAAUAAUAUAAAAAAUAAUAUAUAUAUUGACAUGGAUUAAACAAAGAUAUAUAUUAUUCUAUGUUGUAUAAACAAAUUGGCAAAAUAGAGAUGGAAGAUAAAAAUAUGGUCAAAGUAAUAAGAGUCUAUGGUGAAUGCCUAGGAA